UGAGGAAUAUUGGUCAAUGGGCGAGAGCCUGANCCAGCCAAGUAGCGUGCAGGAUGACGGCCCUAUGGGUUGUAAACUGCUUUUGUAUGGGGAUAAAGUCAGUCACGUGUGAUUGUUUGCAGGUACCAUACGAAUAAGGACCGGCUAAUUCCGUGCCAGCAGCCGCGGUAAUACGGAAGGUCCGGGCGUUAUCCGGAUUUAUUGGGUUUAAAGGGAGCGUAGGCUGGAGAUUAAGUGUGUUGUGAAAUGUAGACGCUCAACGUCUGACUUGCAGCGCAUACUGGUUUCCUUGAGUACGCACAACGUUGGCGGAAUUCGUCGUGUAGCGGUGAAAUGCUUAGAUAUGACGAAGAACUCCGAUUGCGAAGGCAGCUGACGGGAGCGCAACUGACGCUGAAGCUCGAAGGUGCGGGUAUCGAACAGGAUUAGAUACCCUGGUAGUCCGCACAGUAAACGAUGGAUGCCCGCUGUUGGUACCUGGUAUCAGCGGCUAAGCGAAAGCAUUAAGCAUCCCACCUGGGGAGUACGCCGGCAACGGUG
RNAcentral lists this ribosomal RNA (540 nucleotides) under uncultured bacterium. RNAcentral describes it as "bacterial SSU rRNA". It matches the Rfam family "Bacterial small subunit ribosomal RNA", at positions 355 to 896 of the family's 1533-position model. The record is from RNAcentral.